UGGUGAACUGUGAACAAAUGUGUUUGUUAUGCAUAUCAGCACCUCUUGUAUUUGCAUUCUUCCCCUAGCAGUAAGGUCAACGGCACUCAGAUGGGAAAUAACCGAAGCAUCUUAUGCUGUGGCAGUUGCGCUCUUCUUCUUUGGCCACUGACUCUUACUUUCUCUUUCUGGUCAAAUCUUCAUUCUUUCAGACCUCUAUGCUGGGUUGAACAUAUGUCGUUGGACAAUGAAACUGGAUUAGACAUACCUGGAAUAAGGGUCAGGUCAGUCACAUGCCUUGUUGCAGCAGACUAUUUCGUCCCUGGAUAUUUUUUUUGGGCUGUCUUAAUUGCCAGUUUAGCUCGUAUUGGAUAUGAAGAAAAGACCAUGUACAUGGUUGUAUAUGAUUGGAGGUUAUCUUUCCAGAACACUGAGGUUCGUGAUCAAACUUUGAGCAGAAUAAAGAGCAAUAUUGAACUCAUGGUAGCAACAAAUGGUGGAAAUAGGGUGGUGGUGUUCCCACACUCCAUGGGGGUCCUCUAUUUUCUGCAUUUUAUGAAAUGGGUCGAAGCACCCAUGGGGGGCGGUGGUGGUCCGAACUGGUGUGAGAACCAUAUUAAAGAUGUAAUGAAUAUUGGAGGACCUUUCUUAGGAGUUCCCAAGGCUGUUGCUGGGCUUUUCUCAUCUGAAGCCAAAGAUGUUGCCGUUGCUAGGUAUAAGGUAAUUGAUUCAUUUAUUUAAAGCAAAAGGGAAUAGCAAAAGAAUGGAAUAUUAUUGGAUGCUCGACAAUCUUGGCGGAGCUUUUCCAUCGUCUGGACCUCACAAGUCCAGGGAGUGCCUGCCUCUGAUCCUCAUCAUCAGGAACAAGCUCAAGUAUGCACUGACGUAUCGUGAGGUCAUUUCUAUCCUGAUGCAACACCAUGUACUUGUUGAUGGCAGGGUCAGGACUGACAAGACCUACCCUGCUGGGUUUAUGGAUGUCAUUUCUAUCCCUAAGACAAACGAGAACUACAGGCUGCUUCCGUCUUCACCCAAUCAGGGAUGAGGAUGCCAAGGUUAGGCCAUUGUCUGAUGUUUGACGUCGGCAACAUGGUCAUGGUGGCCGGCGGGAGGAACACCGGGCGUGUAGGAGUGAUCAAGAACAGGGAGAAGCAGAAGGGCAGCUUCCAGACCAUCCACGUGCUGCUUGGAGCUUUUUGCUAUGUCUAGUUUUCUCCUAUUUGUUGUACAGGAAAACAUAGAAUGGAAUUCAAAUUUGGUGGCCGCAAAAGUGUGGAGACUUGAUUUCAUAUAAAGUUAUUAGUGCAAACAAUUGUAUUUUAGUUUAGAUUUAGAGUACAUUUAUGUAUGCGUUGUUUGACAAUGCUUAUUUAUGAUAUAUUGAAUGGUACUUAUUUAUAUUAUAUUAAUUAUAA
Molecule: RNA transcript, 1394 nt
Organism: Zea mays
Lineage: Eukaryota; Viridiplantae; Streptophyta; Magnoliopsida; Poales; Poaceae
Gene name: 40S ribosomal protein S4-like
Exons: 5
Source: RefSeq, a predicted model, not a curated record